CCUACGGGAGGCAGCAGUGGGGAAUAUUGCACAAUGGGCGAAAGCCUGAUGCAGCGACGCCGCGUGAGGGAUGACGGCCUUCGGGUUGUAAACCUCUUUCAGUAGGGAAGCGGUACCUGCAGAAGAAGCGCCGGCUAACUACGUGCCAGCAGCCGCGGUAAUACGUAGGGCGCAAGCGUUAUCCGGAAUUAUUGGGCGUAAAGAGCUCGUAGGCGGUUUGUCGCGUCUAUCGUGAAAGUCCGAGGCUCAACCUCGGAUCUGCGGUGGGUACGGGCAGACUAGAGUGAUGUAGGGGAGACUGGAAUUCCUGGUGUAGCGGUGAAAUGCGCAGAUAUCAGGAGGAACACCGAUGGCGAAGGCAGGUCUCUGGCAUAACUGACGCUGAGGAGCGAAAGCAUGGGGAGCGAACAGGAUUAGAUACCCUUGUAGUC
RNAcentral lists this ribosomal RNA (431 nucleotides) under uncultured bacterium. Its description in RNAcentral is "partial 16S ribosomal RNA". It matches the Rfam family "Bacterial small subunit ribosomal RNA", at positions 338 to 795 of the family's 1533-position model. The record is from RNAcentral.